Molecule: long non-coding RNA, 375 nt
Filed under: Mus pahari (shrew mouse)
Lineage: Eukaryota; Metazoa; Chordata; Mammalia; Rodentia; Muridae
Description: lncRNA (MGP_PahariEiJ_G0006330.1)
Source: RNAcentral
CUGUAGGGAUCUCAGCAAGGGUGGGAGAACCAGUUCCACCUUGGCACAGUGCCAAAAGGAAGGCUUUGAGCAAGUCACCAGCGCUAGGACCUUCUCAUGAGCUUGUAGAAGGGCUGAGCCCUUGGCUAGGGGGGAAGGCCAGUCUUGUGAACAGCAGGCUGUGCUGGGCAUCAAAUCGCAAAAAUCAGACCACGUGACUCCUAAUAUUAACAACGGAUGGGACUUCUCAGAGGACAAGGUGAACUCAAACAGAUCAGCAAGACAGAUCCAAACUACCAGACGCACACAUCACCCCUAACGUUCCGCUGUUUUCUCAGACCCUCUUCUACCUAAUACUCACUUACCAAAGUCAACAUUAAAAGCACCUGAUGACAA